UGGGGAAUAUUGGGCAAUGGGCGCAAGCCUGACCCAGCAACGCCGCGUGAGGGAAGAAGGUCUUCGGAUUGUAAACCUCUGUCCUUGGGGACGAAAAAAAUGACGGUACCCAAGGAGGAAGCUCCGGCUAACUACGUGCCAGCAGCCGCGGUAAUACGUAGGGAGCAAGCGUUGUCCGGAAUUAUUGGGCGUAAAGGGUGCGUAGGCGGCGCUGCAAGUCAGAUGUGAAAUCCCCGGGCUUAACUCGGGGGGUGCAUUUGAAACUGCAGUGCUUGAGUGCAGGAGAGGAAAGCGGAAUUCCUAGUGUAGCGGUGAAAUGCGUAGAUAUUAGGAAGAACACCAGUGGCGAAGGCGGCUUUCUGGACUGUAACUGACGCUGAGGCACGAAAGCGUGGGGAGCAAACA
RNAcentral lists this ribosomal RNA (405 nucleotides) under uncultured prokaryote. RNAcentral describes it as "bacterial SSU rRNA". It matches the Rfam family "Bacterial small subunit ribosomal RNA", at positions 355 to 774 of the family's 1533-position model. The record is from RNAcentral.